Lepidopterella palustris CBS 459.81 is the source of this 87-nucleotide non-coding RNA. The record is from the annotation of a GenBank genome assembly. Lineage: Eukaryota; Fungi; Ascomycota; Dothideomycetes; Mytilinidiales; Argynnaceae.
GCACUGUUGGUCCAGCGGUAGGAUCCUUGCCUUCCAUAUUCGGUAUAGAGUGAGCAAGGGGCUCGGGUUCGACUCCCGGACAGUGCA